UGUGAAUUUGCAUUGAGUCUGUCAUAUGCCCCACUCCAUCAUUUUAAUAUUUGAAAUGGCAUUCAUUUUCCCUCUCUGUUCAUCAUUAAGUGGGGUCAGAUUCCAAAAGAUUCCACCUCUCUCAGGCUGGCUCUCUUUCGUCUGACUUCCAUUGUGAAAAUUUCUCAUUCCCCUUUUUCUUAAGAGAGGCUGACAGAAUCUAGGUAUAAAUCAAUUGGAAACCAGACAAAAACUACGUGCCUAAAAAUGACAAAAAAAAAGUUUUGUAACAUUUAAAAAAGAAACCUGAAUAGCCUUUAAUUCUUAUGAAUAUGCUUACAUUUUAUGUAAAUUGGUUUUUGCCACGUGUGUUUGUUCACA
Molecule: long non-coding RNA, 360 nt
Filed under: Bos taurus (domestic cattle)
Lineage: Eukaryota; Metazoa; Chordata; Mammalia; Artiodactyla; Bovidae
Description: long non-coding RNA NONBTAT007044
Source: RNAcentral